CGGAUGCUGUGACAAGGGGCGGGCGAGGGAGGGCUCCGCGUCAGGGGCAGACAGCUCCAGGUGCUGGAGGCUGCCGCGCGGAGAGGUCCGCCCAGCCAGGAUGUGCGUUGUCCUGAGAAUCGAAUUACCCGGAACCCCAGAGCUCACCCUCUCUGAAGGAGAGCAGGUGCCUCCUGAGAGCAGGGCUUCUCUACCUUGGGGCACUAUGAACAUUCUGAGUGGGUGCCCACUUUGUUCAUCUCUGCUCACUGGGGGAGCCAGGACACGGAUCCAGGUUUUCUGACUCCAGGUAGGCACCCAAAUCAAGACUCAGAUUUCCUCAUCUCAGAAGUUGUCCACUUCUUCUCCGACCUCCACGGUAACUCGGAACCACACCGUGGAGUUAUCCCUGUGUCCUCUUUCUCGGAAGUUCCACAUCCAACCCCUCAGCAGGUCUCAGCGGCACUCUCACCACCUCCUCUGCUCUGUUCCUGUUUCUCUUGGAUGGUCGAAUGUUUCCUAAGGAGUGUCUGCUGCUUCACGCUUGCCCCCUGGAGUGGCAUCUAAAAGGAUACCCUACAACUAACAGGCAUGAUGCCAUCAAGACAUCUUGAGCCUGGCUACCUCCCGUGGCCUGUAUUUUGUCCACAGGAAACUCGCGCAGUCUCACUACAGCAAAUUGAGGUGGUAUGGGGUGCCUGCUGCUGCCUCUCUCUUCACCUUUCCACAGAGGGCUGCCCCAGCCUGACUCCCACUUCCAGAGUUUCUCCAGCCAGGAGAAUCCUGAAAUCUCUGUAAAUAAGCAAUCCAGGAGCCAGAGAAUCAUGGGAUCUCAUAUAAACAAAUCAUCAAGGAAAAACACAGCCAGAGUCUCCAUUUGGUAAACCUCCGUGACUGGGGAUCCCCGGCCACCCAGAAAGCAGUAUUGCCUGCCAUGCAUGUCAUCACUGAUUUUUACUGCUGCAGCAGACUCCGUCAGACCUGCCUGCUGCUUCAGCGAAUUGUUCAGUGCACACCACCAGCUACCUGCUGUAAGCAUUCACACUCCUCUACCUGCCUGGCAGCAUUUCUCAGCUGAACACAGGCCAGGCCAGAAGUGCCAGGGAUUUAAUGCCCUUAGAAGUAGCUCUCUACCAAUGACAAAUGGAGCUGGUGGAUACAUUCUCAGCUUCCUCCCCUCUCAGGUGGAACAGCCCUGAGAUGUGCUCUAUGCAAUCUCCCACAAGUCCCCAGCAGGCUCAAGCUCCCAUUGUCCAACCCUGGUAACCUGCUCAUUGACACCCCUGUCUUGCCUUCCCUUCCUGGCCUCACUUUCUCACUCUCUUACUGUUGCCUCCUGAGAUCGCAUCCAAAAUAAAUGACCUGCACCCAGAU
RNAcentral lists this long non-coding RNA (1353 nucleotides) under Homo sapiens (human). RNAcentral describes it as "HSALNT0230857". Lineage: Eukaryota; Metazoa; Chordata; Mammalia; Primates; Hominidae. The record is from RNAcentral.